GCCGAUGUAGCUCAGUUGGCCAGAGCUACUGAUUUGUAAUCAGUGGGUCGGGGGUUCGAAUCCCUCCAUCGGCUCCA
Molecule: transfer RNA, 77 nt
Filed under: Bacteroidota bacterium
Lineage: Bacteria; Pseudomonadati; Bacteroidota
Also listed under: 1 other name
Description: Bacteroidetes bacterium (activated sludge metagenome) tRNA-Thr
Rfam family: tRNA
About the family: Transfer RNA (tRNA) molecules are approximately 80 nucleotides in length. Their secondary structure includes four short double-helical elements and three loops (D, anti-codon, and T loops).
Source: RNAcentral